GACGAACGCUGGCGGCGUGCCUAAUACAUGCAAGUCGAGCGGACUUUCAAGAAGCUUGCUUUUUGAAAGUUAGCGGCGGACGGGUGAGUAACACGUGGGCAACCUGCCUGCAAGACGGGGAUAACUCCGGGAAACCGGGGCUAAUACCGGAUAAUAUCUUCCUUCGCAUGAAGGAAGGUUGAAAGGCGGCGCAAGCUGCCGCUUGCAGAUGGGCCCGCGGCGCAUUAGCUAGUUGGUGAGGUAACGGCUCACCAAGGCGACGAUGCGUAGCCGGCCUGAGGGGGUGAUCGGCCACACUGGGAAUGAGACACGGCCCAGACUCCUUCGGGAGGCAGCAGUAGGGAAUCUUCCGCAAUGGACGAAAGUCUGACGGAGCAACGCCGCGUGAGCGAAGAAGGUCUUCGGAUCGUAAAGCUCUGUUGUCAGGGAAGAAAAAGUACCGUUCGAACAGGGCGGUACCUUGACGGUACCUGACCAGAAAGCCACGGCUAACUACGUG
Molecule: ribosomal RNA, 499 nt
Filed under: uncultured bacterium
Lineage: Bacteria
Description: partial 16S ribosomal RNA
Rfam family: Bacterial small subunit ribosomal RNA
Source: RNAcentral